GGGUUCCAAAGGCGGUUCCAAGUGCCUAAAUUCGGGGAGCCCGGAUAGCCAGCCGGGGCCGAUUCUGGGCCUUUCGAGCUGCCUACACUAUUUUUAUUUUGGAGCUCGGAAAAACACGUCUAAUCACUUGCCUCUCCAGCUGAGUGUGUGUGUUGGCGUGUGUUUGCCUGCCACUUGACACCUCUCAAUGACAAACCGCUGAGUUGCUUCCUCCUGGCAAAAGCUGCUCCUUCAUAUUCAUCUCCUUCUUACUCCUCUACUUCAGAUUCACCUUCUUCUUUUCCUUCUUCUUCUUCUUCAGAAUCUCUUUCUUCUCCUUCUUCUACAGAAUCUUCUUCUCCUCCUUGCUCUUUAGUAUAUUUUUUCCAUACAUAUCCGCGCUUAAGCCUCAGACUGCCAACAGUUUUGGACAUAUAGCUUCAGCUUCAGUUUCCUGGCCACAAAUAUUUUUUGUGUCCUAAGUCUGGGCUGAUGGGAUAGAGGGGCCACACAGGGGGUGGCAAGUGUGUAGAAAAUGGUAGAAAUAUUUCGGUGAAAAGGAAGAAGAGGAGAGACAGAGAAGAGGAGGGCCAGAAUGAUGGACACAAAAGUUCCUGGGGGCCAUACACUUUGCUGCCAGCGGAUUCCAUGGAGCUUGUCAUGGAGUUUGCUCUUGCUCUAGCCCAGAACGAAUAAGUUUAUUUUGGGGAUUUCCCAGAAAGUAACAAAAAAAGAUAGAGAGGGAGAGAGCGAGCGAAACUAUUUGCAUACUAAAUUCGGCUUUAAAGUGAAAUUGUAGUAAGCCAAGAUUUUAGAAUGUAAAUGUUUCAGAGGAGGCAACUACUUUUUUUAUACUAUUGAGACCUUGGAACAGACCAUAGAUUUGCAAGGCUUAUUACAAAGGUUUAACUUGGGAAUUAUAAUAAAGAAAAUAAGUAAAUUAUGAUUUAAAUUUAAACAAUUUCUAACUCUUUUAAAACUAUUUUUGUUUAUCUUUCCAAGGCAAAACAGGAGCUUUAACUUCAUAUAUGAUACAACCAAGCUUUAUUCAGAAUUUUUAGCUUACUAUUUAUUGAACCAAGUUUUUAAAAUCUUACUUUUAUUAUAAACUGUAUUAUAUAUAUUGAUUCUGCUUACUUUCCAAGAAGCUUUUGACUUUAUAAGUCUCUCUCCAAUGAAUUUUCACACAUCUGCAAACAGACCGAAGCUGAAAUUUCUAGUGAAACUUUAGCUCAAACAACCGCAUAUUAAAAUUGACCCUAACUUUAUUACGAACUCUUUAAUCUGUUGCAUAUAUAUUAAACUUAAUAAUUUAUGUUACCCUAUUGGCUGGGACUUUCCACAAGAUUUUCCGAUGGCUAAUCUUGGCCCUCGUAACUUUGCCAUUAAUUUCAAGGGCCUAAACCCUCUCUCCCUUUACACUUAUCUAUCAAGUUUAUCUCACAGGUUUUUGCUCCAGUGCCGAAAAUGUUAAAUUGCCCAACAAUAAUUUGUGUGGUUUUGCCCCCAAGUUUUAUUGGAUAAUUAAGCUGGGCGGGGAGUUGACUUAACCCCCUCAAGCCAGCGUUCCAUAUAAUGGGCCAUGUGUGGGCGUGUUUGUCUUGUUCUUAAGCAUUUUGCGGUUGUGUUUGCCUCGGAAUUUUGUGCCCUGGAUGUGUGAGUGUGCAUAAAUCUUGCAAGUGGAAACUUUUUGCGGCGAGCGCAGCAUAAAUAUUUGAAAAUUAAAAGCCAUCCUCGGUUCCCAGAGUUAUGAGCUCCAAGUCCUGAGUCUCCCUGCCUCGAAGGCCGCCAAUAAAAAAGUUCCAGCUGCAAAAACGGCGUCGCAGAAACGGAAAUUUAUGAAAGUUGAGCCAAGAAGGAAGCCAAGAAGGAAAAUCAGCCCCUUAUGAAGUCACUCAUAAUGGAAAACUAAGCAAAUGCAGGCACGGCAAGUAAUAGGAUGCCCAGGAACAAAUUACAAAGAGCAGUGAAUGGGCCAGAAGAAGCUUAUGUUUACUUAUUAAAGGGAUAGUUGAUAGCUCUUAAAAUAUAUAUUAGCUUUUGUGAGAAGAAGUAUUAUUAACAGAGAAGGACAAUAGAGAUGGUACUGAAGGGUAACAGUUAGAAAUUAAAAUAAUUAUUUAAAAUAGGAAAACUUUAAUUGAUGUUUAAGGGUUUAAGAAAUCUUAAGUUAAUAUGUCUAAGCUAUUGGAGUUACAGUAUUUAUUUAUAUCAAUAAAAUAUUAAUUGAGUGAUUCUUAAUAAUUUUUAAACCCUUUCGGUCACAUAAGUAGUGUCCUUUGACCUAAUUUUCCACUCGUAACUUAUCACUUGCUUAACUUAAGCCACAAUCCCAUAUAAAUUACAAUAUUCUUGCUUCUUAACCCCCCCACUUUUCCAAUUUAAUUAGCAACCAUCCAUCACCCUGUCACCAGUCCAAUCUGUAGCAUAUUAAACUUAAACAAAACGAGUUUCCUCCCCCAAGAGCCUGACUGAAAAUGCUUAAUUACAUUCUCGAUUUCAACAUAUAUUGAAAGCUCGUUAUACAACAAAAAGACAGGCAGAACAAUGAAGGCAAUGGCAACGGCAGCAAUAAUCAUAUCAUGGAGCAUAAAUCACCAAACAAAUUGAAUUAUCAUUGCGUCAUUAAAAAGUCAUUUCAGCGGAGAGCUUACGGUGGAAAAAGAAGUACCCGGGAAAAAAAACAAAAAACAAAAAAAAAAAAUUUGAAACGAAAAUAAAGGUGAAACGAUAUAAUUAUGUUGCAAUAUGGCGCCCUCAAGCAUGACCUACGCCCACAACACCAACAAUGAGAAUAAUAAAAACAACAACGACAAUUACCGUCGACGAGAGAGACAGACAUACUCGCUUCGAAAGAGACGGAGACAUGGGCACUUGGAAGCGCACACGUUCGCUUUCAAAAACACCAAAAACCUAAACACAAUGAAUGCGCUCAUGUCAGAAUGAAAAUUGCUUUUUAUUUGCCAGCGUUGUUUUUCUUUUUGUUAGUGCUGCACCCAGGCGCAACAUUGAAUGAAAACCAUUUUCCGAAAGGGGCAAGGGCGUGGCCAAACCCCAAGAGUUAAUAGAAAACUAAUCUAGAAUAAGAGGCUCAAAUAGGAAAGUUUUUAUAUUAAAUUGGAUAACUUUUCUGUAUUAAUCUUAAUGUAUUUAAAUUUUGGGAUCACAUAAUGCAAGUUAACUUGCAAUUAAAAAUAAUAUAGAUGAUUGAAUAAUAAAUUUAAUUAGGAAUUUGUGGCAGGUCUAUCUUUUCUGAAAAUUUAACUUAAAAAUCUGCAAGGAUCUUUACACUCUUAUGAGGACAUUUAUAUUUUUUACUUAGCUUUCAUCUAUUAGAAAUAUUUUAAAUAUUAAGUUUUAAAUGUGA
Molecule: long non-coding RNA, 3346 nt
Organism: Drosophila kikkawai
Lineage: Eukaryota; Metazoa; Arthropoda; Insecta; Diptera; Drosophilidae
Source: RefSeq, a predicted model, not a curated record